GACGAACGCUGGCGGCGUGCCUAAUACAUGCAAGUCGAACGCUUCUUUCCUCCCGAGUGCUUGCACUCAAUUGGAAAGAGGAGUGGCGGACGGGUGAGUAACACGUGGGUAACCUACCCAUCAGAGGGGGAUAACACUUGGAAACAGGUGCUAAUACCGCAUAACAGUUUAUGCCGCAUGGCAUAAGAGUGAAAGGCGCUUUCGGGUGUCGCUGAUGGAUGGACCCGCGGUGCAUUAGCUAGUUGGUGAGGUAACGGCUCACCAAGGCCACGAUGCAUAGCCGACCGGAGAGGGUGAUCGGCCACACGGGGACUGAGACACGGCCCAGACUCCUACGGGAGGCAGCAGUAGGGAAUCUUCGGCAAUGGACGAAAGUCUUACCGAGCAACGCCGCGUGAGUGAAGAAGGUUUUCGGAUCGUAAAACUCUGUUGUUAGAGAAGAACAAGGACGUUAGUAACUGAACGUCCCCUGACGGUAUCUAACCAGAAAGCCACGGCUAACUACGUG
This 508-nucleotide ribosomal RNA is filed under the name uncultured bacterium. Its description in RNAcentral is "partial 16S ribosomal RNA". It matches the Rfam family "Bacterial small subunit ribosomal RNA", at positions 28 to 507 of the family's 1533-position model. The record is from RNAcentral.